RNAcentral lists this ribosomal RNA (433 nucleotides) under uncultured bacterium. RNAcentral describes it as "partial 16S ribosomal RNA". It matches the Rfam family "Bacterial small subunit ribosomal RNA", at positions 29 to 507 of the family's 1533-position model. The record is from RNAcentral.
AGCGAACGCUGGCGGCAGGCCUAACACAUGCAAGUCGAACGGACCCUUCGGGGUUAGUGGCGGACGGGUGAGUAACACGUGGGAACGUGCCCUUAGGUUCGGAAUAGCUCCUGGAAACGGGUGGUAAUGCCGAAUGUGCCCUUCGGGGGAAAGAUUUAUCGCCUUUCGAGCGGCCCGCGUCUGAUUAGCUAGUUGGUGAGGUAACGGCUCACCAAGGCGACGAUCAGUAGCUGGUCUGAGAGGAUGACCAGCGACACUGGGACUGAGACACGGCCCAGACUCCUACGGGAGGGAGCAGUGGGGAAUCUUGCGCAAUGGGCGAAAGCCUGACGCAGCCAUGCCGCGUGAAUGAUGAAGGUCUUAGGAUUGUAAAAUUCUUUCACCGGGGACGAUAAUGACGGUACCCGGAGAAGAAGCCCCGGCUAACUUCGUG